RNAcentral lists this ribosomal RNA (491 nucleotides) under uncultured bacterium. RNAcentral describes it as "partial 16S ribosomal RNA". It matches the Rfam family "Bacterial small subunit ribosomal RNA", at positions 29 to 506 of the family's 1533-position model. The record is from RNAcentral.
AGUGAACGCUGGCGGUAGGCCUAACACAUGCAAGUCGAACGGCAGCACAGUAAGAGCUUGCUCUUACGGGUGGCGAGUGGCGGACGGGUGAGGAAUACAUCGGAAUCUACUUUUUCGUGGGGGAUAACGCAGGGAAACUUACGCUAAUACCGCAUACGACCUACGGGUGAAAGCAGGGGAUCUUCGGACCUUGCGCGAUUGAAUGAGCCGAUGUCGGAUUAGCUAGUUGGCGGGGUAAAGGCCCACCAAGGCGACGAUCCGUAGCUGGUCUGAGAGGAUGAUCGGCCACACUGGAACUGAGACACGGUCCAGACCCCUCCGGGAGGCACCAGUGGGGAAUAUUGGACAAGGGGCGCAAGCCUGACCCAGCCAUACCGCGGGGGUGAAAAAGGCCUUCGGGUUGUAAAGCCCUUUUGUGGGGAAAAAAAAGCAGCAGGUUAAUACCCCGCUGUUCUGACGGUACCCAAAGAAUAAGCACCGGCUAAUUUCGU